UACGAAGGUGGCAAGCGUUACUCGGAAUUACUAGGCGUAAAGGGCAGGUAGGUGGUUUGGUAAGUCUGUUGUGAAAGCUCCUUGCUUAACGGGGAGAGGUCAACAGAUACUGCCAGGCUUGAGUAUGGGAGAGGGUACUGGAAUUCCCGGUGUAGCGGUGAAAUGCGCAGAGAUCGGGAGGAACACCGAUGGCGAAAGCAGGUACCUGGACCAUUACUGACACUCAGCUGCGAAAGCUAGGGGAG
RNAcentral lists this ribosomal RNA (245 nucleotides) under uncultured bacterium. RNAcentral's name for it is "partial 16S ribosomal RNA". It matches the Rfam family "Bacterial small subunit ribosomal RNA", at positions 524 to 768 of the family's 1533-position model. The record is from RNAcentral.